RNAcentral lists this ribosomal RNA (492 nucleotides) under uncultured bacterium. Its description in RNAcentral is "partial 16S ribosomal RNA". It matches the Rfam family "Bacterial small subunit ribosomal RNA", at positions 29 to 507 of the family's 1533-position model. The record is from RNAcentral.
AGUGAACGCUGGCGGUAGGCCUAACACAUGCAAGUCGAACGGCAGCACAGUAAGAGCUUGCUCUUACGGGUGGCGAGUGGCGGACGGGUGAGGAAUACAUCGGAAUCUACUUUUUCGUGGGGGAUAACGUAGGGAAACUUACGCUAAUACCGCAUACGACCUACGGGUGAAAGCAGGGGAUCUUCGGACCUUGCGCGAUUGAAUGAGCCGAUGUCGGAUUAGCUAGUUGGCGGGGUAAAGGCCCACCAAGGCGACGAUGCGUAGCUGGUCUGAGAGGAUGAUCAGCCACACUGGAACUGAGACACGGUCCAGACUCCUACGGGAGGCAGCAGUGGGGAAUAUUGCGCAAUGGGCGCAAGCCUGAUCCAGCCAUACCGCGUGAGUGAAGAAGGCCUUCGGGUUGUAAAGCCCUGUUGUUAGGAAAGAAAAGCAGCAGGUGAAUACCCCGCUGUUCUGACGGUACCCAAAGAAUAAGCACCGGCUAACUUCGUG